RNAcentral lists this transfer RNA (73 nucleotides) under Planctomycetaceae bacterium. RNAcentral's name for it is "tRNA-Lys". It matches the Rfam family "tRNA". From Rfam's summary of the family: Transfer RNA (tRNA) molecules are approximately 80 nucleotides in length. Lineage: Bacteria; Pseudomonadati; Planctomycetota; Planctomycetia; Planctomycetales; Planctomycetaceae. The record is from RNAcentral.
GAGAACGUGGCUCAGUUGGUAGAGCAACGGACUUUUAAUCCGUAGGUCGUGGGUCCGAGUCCCACCGUUCUCA